CAAAUCCAGUGGAACUAUGGAGCAGGGGCAGGAGCAGAGGAGUGAUGCUCAAUAUGCAUGUUCUCCCUUCCACGUCACUCCUACCUGAUGCCCUAAGAGCACAGAAUUCCAACGGACCCACAAUGUCUGCGUGUUCAGUAAGACUCAAAGUGAGGACAAGGUGUCCACAUUUGCUGUGUCUCACAAAGAUGCCAAGAGCCGACAUCCAAAGGGACAGCAGUAUGGUUCUCUGACCAGAAGAUGUGGGGAGUCGUGGAGGAAGACAGAGAAGCCUGGAGAGGGAAGGUUAAGUAACCUUCCCGAAGUCCACAGCAGUGUCACAUCUCCACCCAGGUCUUCUGACUUCUAAAUCCGGAUUAUUACAAAGGAAUCCCAGGAAGAAAUUGUGACGAGAUGUGUCUGCAGCAGGAGAGGAAGCCCAGGCACACAAAAUCCUAUAGGACUCCACAGUCCCUCAGCAUCCUCAGAUAGCACUCAGGUCAAUGAUGAAAAAGCCCCAAUCCCUGGUACAUGGAACAAAGACUACUCUACCUUCCUGCACUUCAGGGCUGCCUUGUUUCUGAUUCUCCUGGCCCAGCAUCCUUCCUAAUCUUCCGGGGCACUUUCAGCUCAGCAGAUAUCAACAUGCACCCCUGCCUCCUCAUCUGCCAUCUAAUCAGUGACAUAGCUCUUUUUACAGUUAAAAGAAUCAAGCUUAAAGCCAAAAAUCUAGCUUUGUUGCUCCUCUUUCCUCCCCUCCCUUCCUUCUUCCUUUCUCCUACCUCCCUCCCUUCCUCCCUCCCUCCCUCCAGCCCUGUAGAGUGUACUGCUAUGUGUCAGGUACUAACCCUUCUCAGGACCUAGAGUUCCCUGUCUCCCUGGAAUAGCAUAAUUCAAAGACAAUAUGGCUCUAUUAUCAGAUAAGACGUUGAAACUUCUCCCCAACCCUGAGGAUUCUUUUCUCACAGCAGCAGGGCUGUGUGUUUCUUUUUCAAUGGAUUACUUUUCAAAAGGGUCAGAACUGGCAAGGGAGCCCAGACAGGAAUGUAAAUGGUUGGGUCUUCUGCCUAUUCUAGUCUUUAGGUGAGUUUGACCCUCCAUGGUGACAACAAAGAGCAGGAAGGAAAUUGAGGCAGCUGAUACACAAAAACCACCUCAAG
This is a long non-coding RNA of Felis catus (domestic cat), 1139 nucleotides long. RefSeq lists it as uncharacterized. The transcript has 3 exons. The record is from RefSeq and is a predicted model, not a curated record. NCBI's taxonomy places the organism in Eukaryota, Metazoa, Chordata, Mammalia, Carnivora, Felidae.